GCGGGUGUAGUUCAUCGGUAGAAUGCGAGCUUCCCAAGCUUGAGAGGAGGGUUCGAUUCCCUUCGCCCGCUCCA
RNAcentral lists this transfer RNA (74 nucleotides) under Veillonella sp. RNAcentral describes it as "tRNA-Gly". It matches the Rfam family "tRNA". Rfam says of the family: Transfer RNA (tRNA) molecules are approximately 80 nucleotides in length. Lineage: Bacteria; Bacillati; Bacillota; Negativicutes; Veillonellales; Veillonellaceae. The record is from RNAcentral.